GACGAACGCUGGCGGCGUGCUUAACACAUGCAAGUCGAACGGAAAGGCCCUGCUUUUGUGGGGGGCUCGAGUGGCGAACGGGUGAGUAACACGUGAGUAACCUGCCCUUGACUUUGGGAUAACUUCAGGAAACUGGGGCUAAUACCGGAUAGGAGCUCCUGCUGCAUGGUGGGGGUUGGAAAGUUUCGGCGGUUGGGGAUGGACUCGCGGCUUAUCAGCUUGUUGGUGGGGUAGUGGCUUACCAAGGCUUUGACGGGUAGCCGGCCUGAGAGGGUGAACGGCCACAUUGGGACUGAGAUACGGCCCAGACUCCUACGGGAGGCAGCAGUGGGGAAUAUUGCACAAUGGGCGGAAGCCUGAUGCAGCAACGCCGCGUGCGGGAUGACGGCCUUCGGGUUGUAAACCGCUUUCGCCUGUGACGAAGCGUGAGUGACGGUAAUGGGUAAAGAAGCACCGGCUAACUACGUG
RNAcentral lists this ribosomal RNA (468 nucleotides) under uncultured bacterium. RNAcentral describes it as "partial 16S ribosomal RNA". It matches the Rfam family "Bacterial small subunit ribosomal RNA", at positions 28 to 507 of the family's 1533-position model. The record is from RNAcentral.